This is a long non-coding RNA of Stomoxys calcitrans (stable fly), 1017 nucleotides long. RefSeq lists it as uncharacterized. The transcript has 2 exons. NCBI's taxonomy places the organism in Eukaryota, Metazoa, Arthropoda, Insecta, Diptera, Muscidae. The record is from RefSeq and is a predicted model, not a curated record.
UCUACAUUUUUGUAAGAUAAUUUUGCUGUUGUUAGGUGUUCCUUCGGACGGCAGAGGGGUGUGUCCGAGUGAAGCUGGUGGAGUGUUGGCAGUCGAAGUACGAGUUUGUGACGAGUGAGAUGUGGACGACAACCGAGAGCAGACAAAUGCAACAGCUAAAAAUGAGCGCAUGACGAAUGAACGAAUAUUGGAGAUAGUUGGUGGUGGAUUGACAAAGGAGCGAACAUAAAGGAAAGAUAGCAGCGAUGUGUCAAGUAAGUGUGUUGGUGGCGUGACAAAUGAGUGUACUGGUGGUGAAGCAACAAAUGAAAGCCACAACGAUCGACGGUGCCGAUGUGGCAAAUAAGCAUAUACAAUGUAUGGUUAGUGGGUAGGAAGCAAAAGAAAGCACAAGCAAAAUGAUCGACGGUGCUGUCAUGGACAGACAAAAUGCUCAAUUGGCGGUGAGCCCUGCAAACAUUUUCUAUCGUACGAGGCGAUAUCAUUUUUUAGUCUAAUUAAUGUCUCGACACGGGAGAAAACCAGUCAAUUGGUAAUAUAUCCCAACGAGAGACUACAAAAAGUUUAAAAUUCGAGUGUGUCAUUGAAAAAAAAAAGAGUAAAUUCUCUUUUUUCCAAGUUUUUUCGGUUGGGUUUCGUUAUAGACAAACGAAACAGAAAUAAUGAAAAAGAAAAAUGCGGAGCAGAGAAUUAGAUGCUACAACUCCAAUUGUAUGGGACAUUACUCGGCCGAAUGCAGAAAGCCUAGAAGAAAGCCAGGGGUAUGGCAGUAUGAAGCAUUUUGUGGCGAUUUGCCUGAGAGGAAGAUGAAGGCAGCGAAUAAACAGAACGAAUAUAAUGCCUGAUGGACACAGGGAAACCGGCGAGCUUAGUGAGGAGGUCAUGAGUAGAGGGUCGUUUCGAUGUGAAUAGGUUGGCAGGAGUGGGGCGCUAUUAUUUGGGGUGAAUCGAUGGGAGAUUGACUUUUGGAAAUUGUUUAUUUUAUAUUGUUUUUCGUAGCAAAAAGAUUGAAAUUGA